Triticum dicoccoides is the source of this 294-nucleotide long non-coding RNA. RefSeq lists it as uncharacterized. The record is from RefSeq and is a predicted model, not a curated record. Lineage: Eukaryota; Viridiplantae; Streptophyta; Magnoliopsida; Poales; Poaceae. The transcript is spliced from 3 exons.
AAAGCAAGAGAGCUUCUAAGUUCUACACACUAGAGCUGGUGUACACGCGUUCUCAGAGCUCAUGUCCAGGGCUUCAUCAGAGCUAUUUUCUAUGCUGGAAACCUAAAACAACAAAGAUUUUCAAUCCACCCAGACUAAUCAAAGUAUGCUACUAUUUGUCUAAAGUGGAACGGAUGGUCGUCACCUUUGACUAAGCUGCUGAGCCCAAGAAAUGUGGCAGACUGGUGGCCUAGCUGUUCAACUUCUCAACACGAAUGCUAUAUGUUACGGACUUAAUUUUUUGCGAUCUCUUGG